AAGUUCUUUCUAUAUCUUUAAAAUUUGUCACUUUGGCCUCCUUAAUCUAUUUAAGGAGGCCGCA
Phlebotomus papatasi is the source of this 64-nucleotide small nuclear RNA. RefSeq annotates it as U7 small nuclear RNA. The transcript has a single exon. NCBI's taxonomy places the organism in Eukaryota, Metazoa, Arthropoda, Insecta, Diptera, Psychodidae. The record is from RefSeq and is a predicted model, not a curated record.